ACCUGCUGCCCGGCGCUGCGGGAGGAGAGCGCGGAACCGGGAGCCCUGGAACCCUGGCCCGACUGCUGAGCGCCCCGUGGGUCCUACGCUCCCGCGCCUUCUAGGGAAGCCCCUAAAGUUGGUGAGUCCCCUAGAAAGCAGUUCCUCUGUGGCUACGUCCAGGACGAACAACCAAAAACCGCCCCAGCCCCCCAAACCCCAAUUGCCUUAUUCUGUUUCCACUUGCUUUAGCCCCCACGCUCCUGUGUGCGAGAGGGGCCUGGUCAGACUGCAGACCCCACCCAGGAGGAGGAAGAGGAAGGGGCCGCCGUGGCCCGGGCACCCCCAGGGUAAUGGAAGUCAGGUCCAUAUGAAUAUUGCAGAACGUGAAGGGCCAGGCAGCGCCCCCCACCGCCGGGCCCACGGGCAGCCCCUCAUCUGCAACCCCUCAUAUUCAUAGGCAGCCCCUCGUGUUCACAGGCACGCCCCUCAUAUGCAGUCCUUCAUGGCCUGACAUCUGUGGGGAAGUCUCUGCCCACACCUAACACCUAAGCCUCUCAGGUAGGAGGGGCAACUUGUGCGGGGGUCGCUGGGAGGUGGGGGGCAUCAACUCUGGAAGAGACCACAGCUCUGGCCAGGACCAGGGUCGCCUCCCGGCCACUUCCGGCUUCUGGGAGAUUUCCUUUUCCUUGCAACUGGGGUGGGAGUGGACAGAUGACCGUCCCUAGGCCUGUGCUUCAAACCCGAAGCCAUGCUUCUGUGCAAAUGAGGCUCCUGGGCCACAUGAACUCCUGUGCAAAGGCCUGGAAAAUUAACACUUUGAACAAAGUCAGACAUGUUUGAGCAUUUGUGGCGAGUUUCAGUUGCCAGGGGCCCCAGGGAAGGCUGGACUGCGGCUUGUCUGGCCUCCCCCGCCUCCCUAUGGCUUCUGUAGGCGAUGUGACUGAAUCACAAAACGUAGGCAUCUUGCAGUGCCGUGUAAGGAAAUGUAAGUACCGUGAACAGUUUCCAGCAUGUAAUGCGCGAAAAGCCGGGCGUCCACGCCGGUGUUACCGGGGAAGGGUCAGUCACUGCAACCCCGGCAUUGCGCCCGCUGUUCCCAGGACGGCCAUGUCAGCCCGAGGACCUGCGUCUGCACUGGCUGUUGGUUGGGGCUGUGAGGGGCCUAAGGUUGCCUGGGGAUUGGAAACGCAAGGGCGUUUUGGAGGCUUGGCACACUGGGGGCCUGGAGUCGGGGCAGAGGCUCUCCAGGAGCUCCCUGUGGCUCCGGAGCAGCAAGUGGCCUGGUCUUCUGCCAGGCACAGUUGGGCAUUCCCAGCCCGCCCACGUGGACUCAAUCUUUCUUCUUGUAUUUGCUUUCUUCUGAGCUGUGUAUCCUGAGUUUUUGUUGUUUGUUUUUGCUUUACCUGCAUUCGUUUUCUGUUCUUUCUAAUUCUGCAUGCUUUUUGCACACUGGUGCUUUCUGCAGAAGGGGAUGGGGGUGAGAGGUUUUGUGUGGAUUGCGUCUGAGGCAAGGUGCCCACAGAGCAUGCACAUCAGGACAGAUCUGUGAGGAGGGACAGGGUCAGAGCGUGGGGUGUGGAGCUCUUGACCCUGGGGACUGCCAGUGUUUGUGUGGGUUGUGUGAGUGUGCUUGUGGGGCAGUGUAUCUUAUGGGGUGUGUUGCAGUGUGAGGUGAGUGAGGUCAGAGGGGGUUGGGGGUGACGCUUUUGAAUCUUGAGACCUUCUCUCAACCCAGAGCUAACAAUUUUAUCACCGAAAGAUAAUCUCCUGAUGACACUGUGUAUUUGUGAGUGAUGUCACAUGGGGGAAAUGGCACCUGCCGCUCUGCGCCCUGUCUCUCUCCGGAAACGGCGCGUCAGGGGUGUCAUUUCCAUGACAGUAAAUGUAGAUAUACGUUGUUGUUUUUCAUGUUUACAUAGACGAAUUUGGGUAUUUACUAAAAAUGAUUAACACCUACUUCCCUCUGUUGGUGGAAUUUUAGGGUGUUUUAUUUUACAUUCAAUGGAAUUUCUAAGGAAUAUUAGUAUAUCUUAUAAAGAAAAGAUAUAAAUAAUUUUAGGACAAGUGAUAACAGGCAGUCCAAAAGCCAACAGGAUGACAGAUUGUCUCUGGUUCAGUUAGUUCCUCUAUGUAAGUGUUAGAAGCAAAGACUGUGCAUUUCACCCUUAAUUCUAAAUAUGAUAAAAGGAGAGAAUUUGCAGUGAUUUGAUUAUUACAAUAAAAUGUACUGAAGUGACAGUUGACAAGCAAAAGGGGACCAACCACUCUGUAUUGCCCAGACAAAUUCCAGUUAGAUUCGACACACAUACACAGAGACACGCACACUUCCCCAUGGAAAACAGGUCCCUUAGAAACAAUAAACUACAAGAGGGCCUGGGACUUCCAGGAUGACUGAGUGAGGAACUUGGCAAAUUCUCUUCCCCAAAAGCAACCACAAAGCUGAACAGAAUUUUCAAAAACAGUCAUUUCAGAAUUCUGGAAAUGGACUAAAGGCUUGCAAGAAACUGAGAGGCAUUGAAACCCUUGGCAAGAACAGUGGGAGCCUCUGGCAUUUCAGCGGGGACUGCUCCUGUCUCCCCAGGUCCAUGGCAUGGUAGCACUAGAGGGGAAGACAAGCCACCAGGAGAGCUGACUUGAUUUGGGGGAGAGUGUGGAAAAGUCCAUGGCCAGCUGUUGUCAGUAACAGGAGAGUAUCGGUGGCAGACCGCCAAGGAAGGUCAGCGUCAAGGCUGCUUGAGGUCAUGCUGCUCUUUCGGGCAAGCAACAGACCAGUAGAUCAGGUAGAAAUUCAAAGCAGCAGCAACCCUGUUCUCCAGUGGUUCUGGGAAGCUGGGAAAAAGCACAAGGCUUCAUGCAGCCUCAGGGGAAAGCGAUAUUUUGUUAUGGUGGCCCUAGAUAACUAACAUCAUGUUUCAGCACGACCUCUGACUCACCACUGGCAUGGGCAGAUUCAGAAGAAGACUCAGACUGAAUAGGGCUUCCCCUAGACUGUAAGCAGAACAGAGGUGGGGGCUGGGUCUGAGCUGUUUCUCUCUGUAUACGCAACACCCUCACAGAAUCCAGCACACAGAAGCUGUCCUGUAAAUAUCAGAUGGACAGAUAAACAGGUGAGGCACGGACUAGCUGGAGGAUCUGCCCACAUCAGGACCUUGGAGAGCUCCAGUCCUCAAGAUGGGAACUCUCUCUGCUCAGGACUCCAGUGGCUUAAAGGUCUUUCUCAGAUCAGCUUUGCCCUCUUUUUUGACUGAGCCUGAAAUUCGAUACUUUUACCUAAGGUAGAGGUCACAAGGAGCUUAGUUUCAGGAGUCGUGAAAAGAUGGUAGGCCCAGAACGUGUAAGUAUAUGGCAGGACUUUGGGAUCCCCAUGGAUAAUCUCAAUGCCUCAGACUCCAAUAGGGUUUGAUAUUUAUGGCAUCCAUAUUGAUAUUUCUCCCAUGUAGGAGCCCUCAAGCUGUUUCAAAACAGAUGGAUAGAUGCAACAUUUGUGCAUGUAAGGGCAUCAUGAGAAACUAAAUUAUGACAUGGUUUGAAUUAGGUAGGAAAUGGACAAUUUUGUGAAUAACUUAUUAAAAAUAAAAUGAUGAUUCCAAUACCAUUGGAUAAGAAUCUCUAAAACAUAACUAAGUUAUAUAAACUGCUAGCCAGAUGGUGGAGCCAGGAGGGGCAAGCGCCGGCACCUUCAUGUCUUUUGAACAAGGAAGGUGGUGCCUGCCAGGUAGGAGAGCCCUGCCUCCUCCCAGAAACCCCCACAGCCUUCAUCCCACUUGGUCCUACUGUUCUUACCUGUUGCCCUCUCCAUAUCUCUUCUUGUUCAGCUUGGUCCAUCUCUCUCUGGACUUGCUCCCCAUCUCUGUCUCCCUAGUAACUCUUUCCUGUCCAUGUCUGAGAGUCCCUUGGAGAGAAGGCAGCUCCACCUUCUACAAGUGGUCCCUGAAAUGCCCUCAUCCCUACCUGCCCCAGUUCCCUUGUCGGUAUAUAAAAAUAUCUUUACAGUAAAGAACAGAGCACACUCAGCCCCCUGGUUGUUUGAUGUCCUGCACAGCCUCAGGACUUUGCAGGGAGUCUCCACCAAGAAGAAGGCCCUCACCAGAUUUGGUCUCUCAACGUUGGACUUCUCAGCCUCCACAACUAAUUGUACUAAUCAUCAGUUUAUUCAUGAAGCAUGACUUGGAUUGAACAAGAUAAGCUGGGUCAAGCAUUUGAAGACGCUUUUGAGGUACUGAGGCAACAUCCAACUUUAGAUCCUCAGAACUCCCCUGAUGACAAAAAUUACCUGUCUUUCAUUAACUGUUGUCUUCAUAUCAGAGGAAAUUCCAGCUGCUAUGAGUGUUGCCUACGGAGGAACCUGUCUACAAUUGGAGAACUGUAAUAGCAGGACUGUGGACUUCUAUUUUGAAGGAAAUAUUCAUCAACCUCUGCAGAGCAUAACUGAAAACCAGCUGGUACAACCUGCUCUUCUCCAGCAAGAGGAAGAAAAGGCAGGAAGAGGCUCUGGCUAUUGAAUACCUUCACAAAUCCCUGUGUACUGAGAUGGCAUCUUGUAUUCACUGGGAAGAUAAAACCAAAGACACCUUUCAGUUUGUAACAAAAAACCAGGAAACUUCUGAACUUUGGGGGAAGAGAAAAAGCAACCAGAGUACCAUGACUUUCCAGAAAUGGCCAGGGCACUGAGGAGCUGUGGAAGAACUGGGGAAAUCACCGAAACCCAGUACCAUUUCAGUGAGGCCAUUCUCCAAAAACUCUCUCCAUCUUAUUUCUUGGGGAAAGAGUUCUUCUACUUACAAUAUGAUCAACCUGAUUAAGAAUAUAUUGGUUUCUAUAACUGUGAUGCAGAUUAUAACUAUACAAAUGCCAAUUACCAGAAGCUAAGCCACCCUGAUUCCAAAAUAUAGUCUCACAUUUCAUGGUUUCCUGGUAUCAGAAAUCCCUAUGAGCCUGAGAUUUUUUCCCUUAAAGCAAAUACUGAAGAUAAGAAACCAAUUAAUUUCAUUGUUGCUAUCUUGUAUCCAAUGGCAUAAAAUCUAUACUAACUUGAUUAGAAAUUCUGCCAAUGAACAACUUUAUUGUUUUGAGUGAUGAAGCCCCAUUUGAGAAUAUAGGCUCAAUGGCCUUGCUCUUAACUGUUCUCUAUGCAGUCACUUUCUUCUGCACUAAAGUGCCAAUACAGAUACUGAAUACAUUGAUUUAAAUACAUAGAUAUAUAAAUAGAUAUUUAAAUAUGCAAUAUAUAUGGAUACUUUAUAUAUUGAUUUAAACAUUUUCCUCUCAUAGAUGAAAAAUCACUCUAACAUGUAUUGAUGGCUUCACAAGAAAUCAUUUACAGAAAAUAAUUGCAUAUGAUACAGUGUUUGUGCCAAAAUGUAUUCAUGGCUUUAAAAACUUCAGUGGAAAUGUCUAUUCAGAUCCCUAGCCCAUUGUUAAAUUGGUUUCUGUUUUCUUGCUAAGUUUGAGCUGCUUAUAGAUGAUGGAUAUUGACCCCUUAUAGAUGUUGGAUAUUGACCCCUUGUGGAUGUAUGGCCGGUGCUUUUCCCAGUAUUUAGGUCAUCUCUGCACACUGUUGAUUGUUUCCUUUGCUGGGUAGAAGUUUUUUGGUUUGAUGUAAUCCUAUUUGUUUAGUUUUACUUUUGUUGCUUGCACUUUUGGUGUUAAGUCCAAAAGAAAAUUGCAAACACCAAUGUCGUGUAAUUUUUACUCUCUGUUUUCUUCUGGUAGUUUUAGAGCAAGUUUAUCCAACCUGUGGUCUGUGGGCUGCAUGCAGCCCAGGACAGCUUUGAAUGUGGCUCAACACAAAUAUGUAAACUUUCUUAAACAUUAUGAGAUUUUUUUGGUGAUUUUUUUUUAGCUUAUCAGCUAUU
Molecule: long non-coding RNA, 5837 nt
Filed under: Homo sapiens (human)
Lineage: Eukaryota; Metazoa; Chordata; Mammalia; Primates; Hominidae
Description: non-protein coding lnc-PLEKHG4B-1:2
Source: RNAcentral